RNAcentral lists this ribosomal RNA (253 nucleotides) under uncultured bacterium. RNAcentral's name for it is "partial 16S ribosomal RNA". It matches the Rfam family "Bacterial small subunit ribosomal RNA", at positions 524 to 776 of the family's 1533-position model. The record is from RNAcentral.
UACGAAGGGGGCUAGCGUUGUUCGGAAUUAUUGGGCGUAAAGCGCGUGUAGGCGGCAUGGCAAGUCGGGUGUGAAAGCCCUCAGCUUAACUGAGGAAGUGCGCCCGAAACUGCCGUGCUUGAGUGCCGGAGAGGGUGGCGGAAUUCCCCAAGUAGAGGUGAAAUUCGUAGAUAUGGGGAGGAACACCGGUGGCGAAGGCGGCCACCUGGACGGUAACUGACGCUGAGACGCGAAAGCGUGGGGAGCAAACAGG